This 518-nucleotide ribosomal RNA is filed under the name uncultured bacterium. RNAcentral describes it as "bacterial SSU rRNA". It matches the Rfam family "Bacterial small subunit ribosomal RNA", at positions 992 to 1509 of the family's 1533-position model. The record is from RNAcentral.
AGGACUUAGCAGAGAUGCUUUGGUGCCUUCGGGAACUCUGAGACAGGUGCUGCAUGGCUGUCGUCAGCUCGUGUUGUGAAAUGUUGGGUUAAGUCCCGCAACGAGCGCAACCCUUUAUCCUUUGUUGCCAGCGGUCCGGCCGGGAACUCAAAGGAGACUGCCAGUGAUAAACUGGAGGAAGGUGGGGAUGACGUCAAGUCAUCAUGGCCCUUACGAGUAGGGCUACACACGUGCUACAAUGGCGCAUACAAAGAGAAGCGACCUCGCGAGAGCAAGCGGACCUCAUAAAGUGCGUCGUAGUCCGGAUUGGAGUCUGCAACUCGACUCCAUGAAGUCGGAAUCGCUAGUAAUCGUAGAUCAGAAUGCUACGGUGAAUACGUUCCCGGGCCUUGUACACACCGCCCGUCACACCAUGGGAGUGGGUUGCAAAAGAAGUAGGUAGCUUAACCUUCGGGAGGGCGCUUACCACUUUGUGAUUCAUGACUGGGGUGAAGUCGUAACAAGGUAAGCGUAGCGAG